This 445-nucleotide ribosomal RNA is filed under the name uncultured bacterium. RNAcentral's name for it is "partial 16S ribosomal RNA". It matches the Rfam family "Bacterial small subunit ribosomal RNA", at positions 354 to 796 of the family's 1533-position model. The record is from RNAcentral.
GUGAGGAAUAUUGGUCAAUGGGCGGGAGCCUGAACCAGCCAAGUCGCGUGAAGGAAGAAGGAUCUAUGGUUCGUAAACUUCUUUUGCAGGGGAAUAAAGUGCAGGACGUGUCCUGUUUUGUAUGUACCCUGAGAAUAAGGAUCGGCUAACUCCGUGCCAGCAGCCGCGGUAAUACGGAGGAUCCGAGCGUUAUCCGGAUUUAUUGGGUUUAAAGGGUGCGUAGGUGGUUUGAUAAGUCAGCGGUGAAAGUUUGCAGCUUAACUGUAAAAAUGCCGUUGAAACUGUCGGACUUGAGUGUAAAUAAGGUAGGCGGAAUGCGUGGUGUAGCGGUGAAAUGCAUAGAUAUCACGCAGAACUCCGAUUGCGAAGGCAGCUUACUAAGCUACAACUGACACUGAAGCACGAAAGCGUGGGGAUCAAACAGGAUUAGAAACCCGGGUAGUCC